GUGGUGCAUGAAAGGAGAGAAGGCUAGCACUCCCCUUGACAAGGAUGGAAGAGGCCCUCGGGCCUGACAACACGCAUAUGGUUAAGGCAUUGCCAUCUACUUCGCGGCCUCUAACCACUGUUUUUU
This 126-nucleotide non-coding RNA is filed under the name Monodon monoceros (narwhal). Lineage: Eukaryota; Metazoa; Chordata; Mammalia; Artiodactyla; Monodontidae. The record is from RNAcentral.